UGGUGGAGUGAUUUGUCUGGUUAAUUCCGAUAACGAACGAGACCUUAACCUGCUAAAUAGACUGACCAAUUCAUUGGUUUAGUCUUCUUAGAGGGACUAUGUUUCGAUAAGAUCAUGGAAGUUUGAGGCAAUAACA
RNAcentral lists this ribosomal RNA (136 nucleotides) under uncultured eukaryote. RNAcentral's name for it is "partial 18S ribosomal RNA". It matches the Rfam family "Eukaryotic small subunit ribosomal RNA", at positions 1299 to 1458 of the family's 1831-position model. The record is from RNAcentral.